UACGGAGGGUGCAAGCGUUAAUCGGAAUUACUGGGCGUAAAGCGCGCGCAGGUGGUUUCUUAAGUCUGAUGUGAAAGCCCACGGCUCAACCGUGGAGGGUCAUUGGAAACUGGGAGACUUGAGUGCAGAAGAGGAAAGUGGAAUUCCAUGUGUAGCGGUGAAAUGCGUAGAGAUAUGGAGGAACACCAGUGGCGAAGGCGACUUUCUGGUCUGUAACUGACACUGAGGCGCGAAAGCGUGGGGAGCAAACAGG
RNAcentral lists this ribosomal RNA (253 nucleotides) under uncultured bacterium. RNAcentral describes it as "partial 16S ribosomal RNA". It matches the Rfam family "Bacterial small subunit ribosomal RNA", at positions 524 to 776 of the family's 1533-position model. The record is from RNAcentral.